UCUUCCAUUGCCCCUAUUGAUUACUCAUUACCCAUUUGUCAUCGUCUUUAUGUCCCUGUCUACUUGAGAUCUUCUCAGUGCUCACCCAUUAUUUUUACAUAGGAAAUGCUAUUUUAUUUUUCGUGUAUAGAUUAUCAUCUAAAAUUGAGAUGAGAUAGAACUAUCAUCCAACAUACAAACCAUACCCUAUUGAGUAAACAAGGGCCUCUAAAAAAAUGUUUUCUGAUCACUGCAGUACUGCACCUCUACCGCGCACUAGCCAAUGUGGACUGUUUCCACUCUUAAUUACCCAAAUGAGACGUUUGGAUCUGAUUGGGAAAAUUCAACGACUUUGGGAGUUCUACUUCUAGUUCUACCAGCCAGUCGCCGACCCACGGCUUUUAUAAGUCGUGUCUAAGUCUUCCAUUGCCCCAUUGAUUACUCAAUACCCAUUUGUCAUUAUCUCUAUGUCCCUGUCUUCUCGAGUUCUUCUCACCCAUUAUUUUUACGUAGGGAAUGCUAUUUUAUUUUUCGUGUAUAGAUUAUCAUCCGGUGCUAAUAUAAUUUUAUGAAUAUCCAUAAUAGUAGUAUCUGCAUAUAAUAUUGCCCCAUCUCCUUCCCUGCUUCUCCUCUCCAUGAUUUAACUUCCUCUCUUCUUCCCUAAUAUCUCUCCAUCGCAAAAAUUGGGGCCUUCAUCUGCCACCAUGAGGAAUACUGGCCAUAGAUGCCUCUGUUUAAUCAUUCCAUCCAUUCUCACCCCUGUCUAUCUCUUUAUCUUCCUCCACUACCUCACCAUCCCCAUCGCUGGUUACACUUACACCCCUACAGAAAACUUCGCCAUUAAUUGUGGCUCCGCCGAAAAUUGGCAAGCAUUGGCCAGGAACUGGACGGGCGACGUCGAUUCCAAAUUCUCCCCUUCGGAAAAGGGCGAGCUAUCAACAACAUCUCUCGCAGCCGAACAACCUUUUGAAUCGUUUCCCUAUUCCACAGCGCGGCUAUCUCGCAAUGAGUUCACAUACUCAUUUCCCCUCACAGCCGGCCAGAAAUACAUUCGCUUGCACUUUUAUCCAUCUUCAUACGGGGAGUUCGACAGAUCUAAAGCUUUUUUCUCGGUCAAAACCGGUGGUGGCUACACUCUUCUUAGCAACUUCAGUGCUGCCCUUGCUGCUGAAGAUAUUCAAAAGGAAACGAUAGUGAGAGAAUUCUGUAUCAACUUCAACGAAGAAGGUGAGAAGCUGAAUAUUACAUUCACUCCCACUGCGGGCGCAGAUGCAUACGCUUUUAUUAACGGAAUUGAAAUUGUCUCCAUGCCCGACAAUCUCUACUACACUGCACAAGAUGGAGGGUUUCAGUUUAUCGGUCAACAGAAUUCAUUUUUCGUUGAAACAGAUCAUGCUCUGGAAAAUGUAUACCGACUAAACGUAGGUGGGAAAUCUCUUUCGCCCACGGAUGACACCGGCAUGUUCCGUACUUGGGAUGCGGACGAUGAAUACUGUGUGAAACUAGCAUUUGUACCCGCCAACACCAGCAUUAAUCUCAAAUUCACCCAAAUACCAAAUUACACGGCACCUCUUGAUGUCUACCGCACCGCCCGGACCAUGGGAAACAACAAAACUGAGAACAUGGGAUACAAUCUGACUUGGUUUUUGCCUGUGGACUCUGGUUUUAGUUACCUGCUUAGAUUACAUUUUUGCGAGUUCCAACCAGAGAUCCAGGAGCAGCACGACAGGGAGUUCGCGAUUAUCAUAGCCAACCAGACGGCGGAGAAUCAUGCAGACGUGAUCACAUGGAGCACGGGAAAUGGAGUUCCCAUAUACAAAGAUUAUGGGGUAAUGAUGCCAAGCCAGGGAAGUAACAAAAAACAAAACCUCUACAUACAACUGCAUCCUAACCCGGAUUCUGAAACCGUUUACAAUGAUGCAAUCCUCAACGGAAUCGAGCUAUUCAAACUCAGCAAUCCUGAAAAAAGCCUCGCCGGGCCCAAUCCAGAUCCAUCGGAGGCUCCUGCCCCACCACCGCCUGUACAGUCUACCUCGCCCAAGAGAAACAAAACAAAGCUUAUCGCAAUUGCCGGUAGCGUGGUCGCAGGCCUAAUCGCGCUCUCUGUUAUAGUUCUCUUUAUUGUCUGGCGAGGAAGGAGAGUAAGAGACUCCGAACCCAGCGAUGGAGGAUCAUGGUGGGGCCAAUUUUCUUAUACCUCGGUGAAGUCCACGAAGACCAGCCGCUCAUCUCUGCCCUCCGAUCUGUGCCGUCACUUCACUCUGCAAGAAGUCAAGGUGGCCACUAACAACUUCGACCAAGUCUUCAUCAUCGGCGUCGGAGGCUUUGGGAACGUGUACAAAGGGUAUAUCAACGGCGGAACAACACCGGUGGCAAUCAAACGGUUGAAUCCAGAGUCACAGCAGGGGGCCCAGGAAUUCCAGACUGAGAUCGAGAUGCUUUCCCAGCUCCGCCACCUUCAUCUGGUAUCUCUAAUUGGCUACUGCAACGACGAUCGCGAGAUGAUCCUCGUGUACGAUUACAUGGCCCACGGCACUCUCCGCGAUCAUCUCUACAAAACAGAUAAUCCUCCAUUGUCGUGGAAGCAGAGGCUCGAGAUUUGCAUUGGCGCAGCUCGAGGGUUGCACUAUCUUCAUACAGGUGUGAAGCACACGAUCAUUCACCGGGAUGUGAAGACAACCAACAUCCUUUUGGAUGAGAAAUGGGUGGCCAAAGUUUCGGAUUUCGGAUUGUCAAAGAUGGGCCCUACCAGCAUGUCGAACGCCCACGUCAGCACAGUGGUGAAGGGUAGUUUCGGGUAUUUGGACCCAGAGUAUUACCGGCGGCAACAGCUAACGGAGAAAUCCGACGUGUACUCAUUCGGUGUAGUACUGUUUGAAGUACUGUGCGCGAGGCCACCCCUGAAUCAGACGGUGGAGAAAGAGCGGGUCAGUCUAGCACAGUGGGCCCCGGCCUGCUAUCGAGAUGGGAAGCUCGAACAGAUCGUUGAUCCGUUUUUAAAGGGUAAGAUAGCGCCGGACUGUCUGCAGAAGUUUGGGGAGAUCGCAGUGAGUUGUUUGCAGGAUCAGGGGAUCGAACGGCCAUCCAUGAGCGAUGUGGUGUGGGGCCUUCAAUUUGCAAUGCAGCUACAGGAGAGCGCGGAGCAGGAGAUGGAGAAGAGUGGGUCGUGGAGAAAAGUGAAGGACGAAGAAGCCCCACUGAAGGCCUCCAUUACUGAUGAUAGUGACGAUGCGUACGUGUUAACUAGUGAUAGUGGAGGCACGUGGGAUUCGAAGAGUAGUGGGGUAAUGAUACAAUCUAGUGGAGAAGAAAAAAGUUCAACCAGUUGUGAAUCUGAUGCGCUGAUGUCAGGUGCCGUGUUCUCUGAGAUCCUGAACCCAAAGGGGCGAUGAGGUGCAUCCCGUCUCCACAUCUCCACCUCCCUUUAUCAUGAUGCCGCCUCUCCAAUUUUUAAUUAUAAAUAGUGCCUUCAUGAAAUUUAGACUGUACUGGGUUGUUGAAAAUUGUAAUUUUCUUUUUCAAAAAGCGUAUGACCACAUGACUCCAAAAUGUUGACGAAAUUAACAUUGUGAAAAAUAAGUUUAUAAAAAACAAUUUUAUUAUUAAUUUAUCAAAUAAUUUUGAAGUUUUUGAGAAAAUCGAUUUCUCACCCUUUUUCUUUUCUUUUUUUUUUUUUUAAAUAAAAUUUCUCUCUCUCUCUCUCUUUUUUUUUUUUUUUUUUAGUGAAAAUCAUCACUUUGAAGGGACAUUUUUCACUUUUUUCACUUUUUUUUUUUUGAGAAAAUAGUAUAUUCAAGAGAUAAUUUCCCACUUUUUAGAUUUUUUUUUUUAAUUCUGACCUUUUUGAGAUUCUCACUUUCUUGUUUUGGUUUUGGUUUUUUAUUUUUUAAAAUUUUAUUUUAUUUUUUAUGAAAAUUUCUCACCUUUUUUUAUCCAUAAAAUUGUAUAUUUAAAAGACAAUUUCCUAUAUUUUACAAUUAUAUUAUUUUAUUUUUUAACAAAAUCAUCCAUUCAAAAAAAGAUUUCUUAUUUUUUUUAAGACAUAUUUUUCCCUUUAAUUUAUUUGGGAAAUUGUCCCUUUAAGAGACUAUUUUAACUAAAUGAUUUUUUUAAAGAAAAUAAAUUGUCGUUUAAAAAGUCAAUUUUUUUAAAAAAUACUUUUUAAAAUUUGAUAUGAGAAUUUUAUAUUUAUUUCUAUCCAUAGCACAUUGUAAAAUAUAAACGACCUUAGCAUUUAAUUGGAAAUUUCUUUUAUCAUGCUCAUCCCAUUUUUGUUUGGGUUUUGGAACCAUAACUCCAUAAACUAGUUUUGAAGGAAAAGUUGGGUCAUCUUCAAUGACAUCUCACAAGUCUAAGUUAGUUGACUGUAAAAAUGAAGUCAUUUUAGUUUUCCAAUAAGAAUAAUUGGUUCCCGCAAAAAAUGAAGGUAUAUUGGUAGCAAAACUUUUAAUGUGAGAAGAGCUUGAUGAAUUAGUCAUUUCCUCUUAGACAGUUAAAUCUUAAAUAAGAGGCCUAUUAUUUACCCAAGCUUCUAAUUGAGUGAGAGUUUCACUAUACUUGAAGCUUCAACCAAGCUUUUAAUCACCUUUAUACUUGGAUUCCAACUCCAAUGAGCUCUUACACAAUCCCUUCAAGUCUUUACUCACUUGAAACUUUUAACACUCAAAUAACAAGUUUGAAUAUCUCAACCUAGCUCAACAAGGGCUCAAAUACAACUUAAAUGUAAGGAAGAAUCACAAUGGUGCACUAAGGAAUAUGCAAAUGAAGAUUUAAUACACUAAGGAAAGAAUGAGAACUUUUGAUUCAAAAACAAGUAGGUAAACAAGUAAAUGCAGGUGUUUUCUUACUUAUAAAUGAAGUGGAGUUCUCAAUUUAUGGAUUUCUAGCAUCAAGAGCAAAAAAUGCCAAAAAACAGCCUCAACCGGUCAAGUUGGGGGUCGACUAAUUGACUAGUCAUUAUGUAAUAAAUGUAUGAUAGGUGGUCGUUAGGCCUCGACUGGACAUCGAUCGGUCAUCGACUGGGAAGACAUAUCCCUCGACCAAGAAUGCAAGGCUACUGGAAGAGAGAAUAUUUUUUACAUCUCUCGAUCGGACCUCAACUGGGAUAGUGUAACCGGUUGAGUCGGUUGGCCAAUACCUCGACUGGUUCACCAUUUUUGGCUCGAAAACCUAUCUUUUUGUUUUUGUUUUUUUUGUUUAAAUCUUUUCUCUUCUAACAUUUAGGCAAGGUCUUUAGGUAAAUUAAUAUGCUAGAUUUGAAACAAUUUGCUUAAGGUUCAUUUGAUAAAACUUAGGUUUUGAUGGAAAUGUAACUUUAAUGCAUAAACUGAGUUUUUAAAAAUGCAUGAAAAGAUAUGAAAACCCUAAGUGCACCUAUGCAUUCAUCUUACAUAUGUUUCCUAUGAUUAAAGGUUUUCCAAAUGUCUUGAUCUUGCAUCAAUUGGGUCAUUUGAUGAAUUUCCAAACUAAUACCUGAAAUUUUUUAUAAUUCAACCCAAUUAACAACUUAACCAUGAUUUGCUAUCAUCAAAAUAUGAUUAGGAGAACCUUUGGGCUAACAACUUUCAUGAAAAAUAUAAGAACUCAACUUAAUGACCUAUUUUUCAUCGUACACAAGCUCCCUAUGAAUUUGUGUCACAUUCUAACAAGAUGAAUUCUAUCAAACUCUUAAUAUUGUCUCUACAAUUAUUUAGUCUCAUAUUAUCUUAUUAUGUGAUCAACUAACACACAUUCUAGCUCAAAAGAAUUUAUGUCAAAUUCCAAUUAAGGAAUUACUAUAAUAAUAGAUUUUUUUUAUCACAUGUGCUUAGAAUCACUCAAGAGGGCACAUUGUUCCAAACCCGUGAGAUAUUAUGGUGGUUCUAUCAAGAAUACCUUUUACCACUACCCUUCAUUAACAAUGACUCAAUGCAUAAGGAAUAUAUGACCACCCUAUGGUCUCACUCGUGGGUUAAAGUUACUAUAGAGCUUAGUACAAGCUCAAUAUCAUAUUAAUGUUGAGAGACCAUACAUUAUAGCAGUUUGAUGAGAUCAUGACUAUCCAUAAAUCUUGUCAAUGUGUAACCAUAAACACUCAAGGAUGAAAAUAUUGAUUUUAGCAAAUAUAUCGAUAAUUCAAUUUUAUGGAUAUAUUAGGAAAUAUCGAUGAAUAUUUUGACACAACAUAUCAAUUAGGCAAAAAUUGAUCAAAACCCAUGAAAAUGUUAGGAAAAAAAUUCUAAAAAUGAUAUAAUAAUUAAUAAUAGAUAUUUUAAUUUUUUGUUAAUUAAAGAAAACGAUAUUGUAUGAUAUAAUUUAUCAUUAUGAUAAUAAUAUCAUGUGUGUCAAUAAAAAAAAUAUGAAUUUUAUAAGUGUACAUUUAUUAUUAAUUAAGUUACAUAAAAUAUUAUUCAAUAAUAGUAUUGCGACAUUUGAUUAUAAUGUCUAAUUUUAAAAUAUAUUUAAUAUUAAAAUUAUGAUUCAUUUAAUUCGAUUGUAUUUAAUGAUAUAAAAUAAAUGAUGAUAUAUGCACAAUUUUUUAAUAUUUAAUUAAUAUAUUAAUGAUAUAAAAAAUACCUAUGAAGAAAAUUAUCAUGAUAAUUUUUAUAUUUUUGGUAAUCAAUUAAAUGAAAUUUUUUUAUUUAAUUAUAAAAUAAUUAUAAUUAAUUUAUUCAUUAAAAUAUUCUUUAAACAUUUUUUUUUAUAUAUAUAUAUAAACUUGCCCCAAUGGUUGCGAUUCAUUGUGAACCUUUUAUAUGGGGUUCAAACCCUCCAUCUAGAGAAAGCAAUGAGCCAUUAUUGAGCAUUGACCACUUUUGACUAAGCAUUGACCUUAUCCAAAAAUCGCCCGUAUGCCCCCACAUGUUGCUUCAGUCAAUAUUUUGCGCUUUUUUUAAUCCAUAUAAUCAAGAUCAGUCACUCUUCAGUUAAAAGGUAAUACACUACAACUUCAAAUACAGUGCCUAAGUUCAUGAGUCAAAUGUACUAAUUAUCUACUUGAAAGGAACUAUGACUUGAAUAUUUCGUGUAACUAUAAAUGCAUCAAGUCAUAUAUAAAGCAAAAUAUAUCAAGCCAGAAUGCCAAGAAAAUAUAAUGCGUGAACAUGAUAGGAUUGAAAAAUUGGAAUCCUAUUAUAAAUAUUAAUAAAUAUGUUUAUUGUAAUAUUGUCAGCUUUUAAGGGCUUAUUUAAGGGAUUUAUUGUAACAAAUAUGUCCUUAAUAAUAUUAAUGUUAAACUAAUAUUUAUACUAAAAUUUUCAUCUCUUAUUUUAAUGUAAAAGAGAAUUCUAAAGAUAAAUAUAUUUUUUAAUAGGUUUGUACCAAAUACAAAAUUUAAAAAUGUAACUUUAAUGAAUAAAUAAUUUUAAUUAUCUUAUAUUUAAAUUCCUUUUCACUAAUUAUUAAUGAGUCUUUCUUUAUAUCUCUUUACAUUAAUUAAAUAUAAGAAAAAUAUAAAUUUGAAAAUAAAAUUAUAUGUUAAAAAAAAAAUCAUGCAUAUAACAUUGCUUUUAUAUAUAUAUAUAUCUUUGAAUACAUCUAAACUAGUUAGAUUUCUAUAAAAUGUAUUUUCAAGUUUUAUAUAUUAUUAUUGAUGAUAAAUUAUAUUAUGCCUAUAUUCAAAAGACAAAGAACUUGAAUAUGUAAUAUUUCUUGUUUUAUUUUAUUUUAUUUUUACAUUUUUAUGAGUUUUAAUUAAUUUUUAUUUCAUCAAUUUUUUUUAAAUAUUUUUUUUUUGAUAUUUUUGUAAAACCCAACUAUAGAAAUGCAUAUUUUUAUCCUUGGUUGUAUUUGAGCUAAGGGGGAGAAUUUUGGAACUGCUAAGGAGGGAAGGAUGCACAAUAGGAUUGAAAAAGAAUAUAGGUUAAAGGUGGAACCAAUGGUUCUCUCAUCGGAUUGUGAUACAUGGAGCAUGUCCUUCACUAUAUGGAAUAAGUGUAGUUUUUCCCAUGUACUUAUUAGAUCUUGGAGGGUGAAACAAUAAAUAAAGUAGUUAAACUAUUUGAAUCUUCGGGGCAUGAAGGGGAUUGUAGCGUAUGAGAGGACCAAUAAAAGUAUAUGGUAAAACACGGGAUGUUUCAAGGCUCAAAUUUUUGUGCUUUUUGUAAUAUGGUGAAAUGAUUUCUCUAAUUCAUAGAUAUAAAUAUAGUAAUUGGCCUAAGCAUAUUAAAUAUUCAUGUAACAUUUCAUCAUAUUAAAUACAGUAAUAGAUCAAAUUUUUAGGCUGUGUUUGGUUCCUUGAAAAUUUGAAGGAAAAUGUAUUAGAAAAAAUAGAGAGAAAAUUAAAACGAAAGAAAAAGUACAAAAAAUAAAAAAUACAUUUAAAAUCAAUAAAUUAGUUUUAUAUAUUACUUCAAAUCCAUUUAACAUAUUUAACUCUUCUAUAUAAAAAUUAAAUAAUUUAAAAUAUAUAAAUUCCUUGUUAAUUUUAAUUAUUUUUUACUUUCUCUCAUAUUAUUCAUAGUAAAAUCAAAUAGGAAAAAAAAUGUAUAUUUUCUUAACAUUUUUUCCUUUCUUAUUACUUUCUUGGAACCAAAGAUAACCUUACUUUCCACCUUUUUUCCAAGAAUGGAUUAAGAAAAAAAAAUUAAACAACAAAAAAGUGAAUGCUUUAUUAAGAACCAAAGUGCUACCAUCCCUUCAACCCAUUCAAUCUUUGGUUGAGAAGGUAAGGUUUGCAUACUUAUUUUUAUGUUAAACAUUUGAGAGUAAGGGUUAUGUUUAGUUUUUAGAAAAGUUAAAGGAAAAGAAAAUAGAGUGAAAAAAUGCAAGGAAAGAAAAAAUGAAUGAAAAUAAAAAAAAUAGAUUAAAAAUCAAUAAGUUAAUUUUAUAUAUUUUUUCAAACUAAUUUAAGUUAUUUUUGUUCAUAGUAUAAAAAUUGAAUAAUUUUAAAACAUAUAAAUUUUAAACUAAUUUUAAUUAUAUUUAAUAUUCUUUUUCUUUUCUUUUCUUUUUUAUAAUAAACUAAACAUAAGAAAUUUAUUUUUUUAAAUAAUUUUUUUAUUUCCUUAACGCUUUCAGAAACCAAAUAUAACCUAAAGAUUAAGUACCUAAAGCCUUUUUUUUUUUCCUGAUAAAUAAUAGCCUAGCCUUCCAAGUAGGUACUUAUUGUUAAUUGCUAACUAAACCUUUCUAACUAUGACAUUUAAAUACGUAACAGUAUGGUUUGUAGGGUACGUAUGUUAGGAGGUUCGUGGAAGCUAAGGGAUGGUCGGAAUAAAUGUGCAAACGACUUGGACUUUUAUUAGUCGUCUACUCUUUUUCUACCCACUAUUCGUUUGUCUUCAUUCAAUGUCUCUACCAAUAAGAAAAUAGUGCCACUAGGACCAAGAAAAAAAAACUUAUUAUUUGUUUUAUUAUAAAUUUUUAAUAUUUUUUAUUUUUUAUUAUAUUUUUAUGAGUUUUAAUUAAGUAAUUAUGUUUUUGGACAUUUCCAAUUUUUUUUUUUUUUUUAAAUUCAAUCAUUGACAUUUCUAUGUUAAUUUUGCCUUGUUAUGAGAAAUAGAUGGUGGAAUUUAUUUGAAAAUAUAAUUAGUUUUAUGAAACAAUUGAUUUAAAAGAUAUUUUUAAAAUGAGAGGUUUAGGAUGUAUUUGACAACGCUUUUAAAAAUAAUUACAUCUCUUUGCCACUGCACGGCUCUCACACUCUGAAUUCACAUACAGAUUUCCUGUCUUAGCCGGUACGAAAUUCAAAUGUUUUUUCCUCUAAAAACAAGGGCCUAAAAUUGAGAUGAGAUAGAACUAUCAUCCAACAUACAAACCAUACCCUAUUGAGUAAACAAGGGCCUCUAAAAAAAUGUUUUCUGAUCACUGCAGUACUGCACCUCUACCGCGCACUAGCCAAUGUGGACUGUUUCCACUCUUAAUUACCCAAAUGAGACGUUUGGAUCUGAUUGGGAAAAUUCAACGACUUUGGGAGUUCUACUUCUAGUUCUACCAGCCAGUCGCCGACCCACGGCUUUUAUAAGUCGUGUCUAAGUCUUCCAUUGCCCCAUUGAUUACUCAAUACCCAUUUGUCAUUAUCUCUAUGUCCCUGUCUUCUCGAGUUCUUCUCACCCAUUAUUUUUACGUAGGGAAUGCUAUUUUAUUUUUCGUGUAUAGAUUAUCAUCCGGUGCUAAUAUAAUUUUAUGAAUAUCCAUAAUAGUAGUAUCUGCAUAUAAUAUUGGCCAUCUCCUUCCCUGCUUCAUCUUCCACCAUGACGAAUACUGGCGACAGAUGCCUCUGUUUAAUCAGUCCAUCCACUCUCACCCUUCUCUAUCUCUUUAUCUUCCUCCACUACCUCACCAUCCCCAUCGCCGGUUACACCCCUACAGAAAACUUCGCCAUCAAUUGUGGCUCCUCCGAAAAUUGGCAAGACUUGGGCAGGAACUGGACGGGGGACGUCGGUUCCAAAUUCUCCCCCUUGGAAAAGGGCAAGCUAUCAACAACAUCUCAAGCAGAUAAACCAUCCUCUUCAUCGGUUCUCUAUUCCACAGCGCGGCUUUCUCGCUAUGAGUUCACAUACUCAUUUCCCCUCACAGCCGGCCAGAAAUUCAUUCGCUUGCACUUUUAUCCAUCUUCAUACGGGGAGUUCGACGGAUCUAAAGCUUUUUUCUCCGUCAAAACCGGUGGUGGCUACACUCUUCUUAGCAACUUCAGUGCUGCCCUUGCUGCUGAAGAUCUUCAAAAGGAAACGAUAGUGAGAGAAUUCUGUAUCUACUUCAAUGAAGAAGGUGGGAAGCUGAAUAUAACAUUCACUCCCACUGCGGCUGCAGAUGCAUACGCUUUUAUUAACGGAAUUGAAAUAGUCUCCAUGCCCAACGAUCUCUACUACAGUUCUCCACAAGAUGUAGGGUUUCAGUUAAUCGGUCAACAGAAUUCAUUUCGCAUUGAAACAGAUUAUGCUCUGGAAAUGGUAUACCGACUAAACGUAGGCAUGCAAUAUGUUUCGGCCAAGGAUGACACCGGCAUGUUCCGUACUUGGGAUAUGGACGAUGACUACUGUAUGAAACUAGCAUUUGUACCCGCCAACACCAGCAUUAAUCUCAAAUUCACCAAAAUACCAAAUUACACGGCACCUCAUGAUGUCUACCGCACCGCCCGGACCAUGGGAAACAACAAAACUGAGAACAUGGGAUACAAUCUUACUUGGGUUUUGCCUGUGGACUCUGGUUUUUAUUACCUGAUUAGAUUACAUUUUUGCGAGUUCCAACCAGAGAUCCAGCAGCAGCACGACAGGGAGUUCACGAUUUUCAUAGCUAACCAGACGGCGGAGAAUCAUGCAGACGUGAUCACAUGGAGCGGCGGAAACGGAGUUCCCAUAUACAGAGAUUAUGGGGUAAUGAUGCCAAGCCAGGGAAGUAACAAAAAACAAAACCUCUACAUACAACUGCAUCCUAACCCGGAUUAUGAAACCGUUUACAAUGAUGCAAUCCUCAACGGAAUCGAGCUAUUCAAACUCAGCAAUCCUGAAAAAAGCCUCGCCGGGCCCAAUCCAGACCCAUCGGAGGCUCCUGCCCCACCACCACCUGUACAGUCUACCUCGCCCAAGAGUAACAAAACAAAGCUUAUCGCAAUUGCCGGUAGCGUGGUCGCAGGCCUAAUCGCGCUCUCUGUUAUAGCUCUCUUUAUUGUCUGGCGAGGAAGGAGAGUGAGAGAUUCAGAACCCAGCGAUGGAGGAUCAUGGUGGGGCCAAUUUUCUUAUACCUCGGUGAAGUCCACGAAGACCAGCCGCUCAUCUCUGCCCUCCGAUCUGUGCCGUCUCUUCACUCUGCAAGAAAUCAAGGUGGCCACUAACAACUUCGACAACGUCUUCAUCAUCGGCGUCGGAGGCUUUGGGAACGUGUACAAAGGG
This 11789-nucleotide long non-coding RNA is filed under the name Vitis vinifera (wine grape). RNAcentral describes it as "long non-coding RNA (VVIN_LNC004798)". Lineage: Eukaryota; Viridiplantae; Streptophyta; Magnoliopsida; Vitales; Vitaceae. The record is from RNAcentral.